UUUUGUUUGCUGAAAGGGAAAGGGGUGCGAACGGAAGCAAGGGGGUGCAGUCCAAAAUAGCGUACUCAGCCCAAACCUCCUCUUUUGUUUACAGAAACAGAGUGGGGUGUGAAUAGAAUUUUGCGGUGGUGGGCAGAAAAACCACAGCCCAAGCCCAAAGCCUUUUCCAUUUUUUUUUAUUUGCAGAAUAGAAGUGGGGGUGUGAAACGUGAAUGAGGGGUGCAGGGAAGAACAGACAGUCCAUCAGCCAGGCCCAAAGCCACUUAAACCUAAACAGAAAUUAGGGGUGCAGAGAUUACUCUCAUUCUACCAUCUAUGCCGCCAGAGACCUUGGGUCUCCUCCUCCAUCGAUCACGAUCACGACCAGUCUCCACCCAACCGGCCACCACCAUCCGGCGACGUUGUCAGCGAUCGAUGCUCGUCGCCGGAGCUACCAAGUCGUCGUCGGCCAUGGCAGCAGGUCUAAAGCCCCUCUUCUCUCACGGCGUCGAGGCUGGGCGUGGCCGUCUCCGUUGCCGCCCUUCACGAGACCAAACGCCACAAACCGCACCUAUCACAGCAGUUGAGAACGCCUUUCUCCUCCACUCCGAGAUCCCACCGUCGAUAACGCACCGUUAACUCCGGUGUUUGACUCCGCUUCGCCGUCGUCAGCCUCGGAGGCUGUUAUCUUCUCGCCCAUUCCCCUCGAACGGAACUCAUCUCCUUGCCUAUUUACUAUCUUGACUCU
This 727-nucleotide long non-coding RNA is filed under the name Vigna radiata. RNAcentral's name for it is "long non-coding RNA (VRAD_LNC007234)". Lineage: Eukaryota; Viridiplantae; Streptophyta; Magnoliopsida; Fabales; Fabaceae. The record is from RNAcentral.